GACGAACGCUGGCGGCGUGCUUAACACAUGCAAGUCGAACGGAAAGGCCCUGCUUUUGUGGGGUGCUCGAGUGGCGAACGGGUGAGUAACACGUGAGUAACCUGCCCUUGACUUUGGGAUAACUUCAGGAAACUGGGGCUAAUACCGGAUAGGAGCUCCUGCUGCAUGGUGGGGGUUGGAAAGUUUCGGCGGUUGGGGAUGGACUCGCGGCUUAUCAGCUUGUUGGUGGGGUAGUGGCUUACCAAGGCUUUGACGGGUAGCCGGCCUGAGAGGGUGACCGGCCACCUUGGGACUGAGAUACCGCCCCGACUCCUACGGGGGGCAGCAGUGGGGAAUAUUGCACAAUGGGCGGAAGCCUGAUGCAGCAACGCCGCGUGCGGGAUUACGGCCUUCGGGUUGUAAACCGCUUUCGCCUGGGACGAAGCGUGAGUGACGGGAAUGGGUAAAGGAGCACCGGCUUACUACGUG
RNAcentral lists this ribosomal RNA (468 nucleotides) under uncultured bacterium. RNAcentral's name for it is "partial 16S ribosomal RNA". It matches the Rfam family "Bacterial small subunit ribosomal RNA", at positions 28 to 507 of the family's 1533-position model. The record is from RNAcentral.